CGAGAACACGGGGCAGCCGGUGAUGCCUUCGCUUUCCGGCGAGAACGCGUUUCUCAAUUGCGUCGUCAAGCCGAUUUACGAGACGAUCAAAAAGGAGGUAGAGAGCAGCAAGAAUGGAACGGCGCCACAUAGUGCUUGGAGAAAUUAUGAUGAUUUAAACGAGUAUUUUUGGACGAAAAGGUGUUUCGCCAAAUUGAAGUGGCCAAUCGAUGUAGGGAGUAAUUUCUUCGUGAUUUCAAGUGGGCGAAAGCAUGUAGGGAAGACGGGGUUUGUGGAACAGAG
This 282-nucleotide unclassified non-coding RNA is filed under the name Hevea brasiliensis (rubber tree). Lineage: Eukaryota; Viridiplantae; Streptophyta; Magnoliopsida; Malpighiales; Euphorbiaceae. The record is from RNAcentral.